This 719-nucleotide ribosomal RNA is filed under the name Gracilibacillus sp. RNAcentral describes it as "bacterial SSU rRNA". It matches the Rfam family "Bacterial small subunit ribosomal RNA", at positions 23 to 708 of the family's 1533-position model. The record is from RNAcentral. Lineage: Bacteria; Bacillati; Bacillota; Bacilli; Caryophanales; Bacillaceae.
CUCAGGACGAACGCUGGCGGCGUGCCUAAUACAUGCAAGUCGAGCGCGGGAAGCUUGUCUGAGCCCUUCGGGGUGACGUGAGUGGAACGAGCGGCGGACGGGUGAGUAACACGUGGGCAACCUGCCUGUAAGACUGGGAUAACUCCGGGAAACCGGGGCUAAUACCGGAUAAUACAUUGGUUCGCAUGAAGCAAUGUUGAAAGAUGGCUUUUAGCUAUCACUUACAGAUGGGCCCGCGGCGCAUUAGCUAGUUGGUAAGGUAAUGGCUUACCAAGGCAACGAUGCGUAGCCGACCUGAGAGGGUGAUCGGCCACACUGGGACUGAGACACGGCCCAGACUCCUACGGGAGGCAGCAGUAGGGAAUCUUCCGCAAUGGACGAGAGUCUGACGGAGCAACGCCGCGUGAACGAAGAAGGUUUUCGGAUCGUAAAGUUCUGUUGUUAGGGAAGAACAAGUACCGUUCAAAUAGGGCGGUACCUUGACGGUACCUAUCGAGGAAGCCCCGGCUAACUACGUGCCAGCAGCCGCGGUAAUACGUAGGGGGCAAGCGUUGUCCGGAAUUAUUGGGCGUAAAGCGCGCGUAGGCGGUUUCUUAAGUCUGAUGUGAAAUCUUGCGGCUCAACCGCAAGCGGCCAUUGGAAACUGAGGAACUUGAGUGCAGAAGAGGAGAGCGGAAUUCCACGUGUAGCGGUGAAAUGCGUAGAUAUGUGGAGGAACA